Molecule: long non-coding RNA, 1130 nt
Filed under: Anas zonorhyncha (Eastern spot-billed duck)
Lineage: Eukaryota; Metazoa; Chordata; Aves; Anseriformes; Anatidae
Description: lncRNA (ENSAZOG00000005864.1)
Source: RNAcentral
AUGUUAGCACAAACAGCUGCCAUUGCAGCUGGAGAACCGACUGCAUUAACCAGGAGGCUCUCAAAAGAAGGACAGAACUGGCCACAGGGUAAAGAGAGACUUCACUCACUGCCCUUUUUCAGUUUUUCAGAUUCAUCUGGCUUUGUGGACUCUUCUUUUCACACUUAUAAAUUCAAGCUCUUUAUUCCCUACAUGGAUUGAUCCAGGCCUGCACACAGCCUUCUGGAAAGUUGUUUAUAAGUACUGUUGGAUCCAUCUACAACCAGAGAAGGAAACCAAAGAACAUGAAUAUGAGUUAAGUUUGACCCUCACCUGCUCUAAGACCCAAAAGUUUACUGAGAAGAAUAUAAACAUUUUCUAGCACCUUCUGCUAAGGAAGAGAAAAAAGUAUGAUCAAUCUGCACACAAAAGGUAAAUGGACUAUAAUCUAAACAAACUAUUUUCUUCCACCUGUUGCUAAGGAACAGAAAAAGGGAGGAGAGGAGGAAAGGAGGGAGAAAGAAAUUAGUGGAGUUUCAUUUCCAGCAAGACCAAUGCCAUUGUUACAGACACAACACAUAAACUGGAAUAAAUCACAGCCAUGUGGAACUUGAGUUUGAUUCUCCUGUUGAUGAAACAAUUACACAGAAGCAUUUCCUUUCGUAAGAGGAUAAAAUUGCCCCUUUCUGCUGGUCUACAGAAGACAGAAUGAUUUAAUAGCUGUUGGAGAGGAUCCAGAUCUUGGCUAAAUUGCAAAGGAAAUAAAAUCUACUUGUGUGCACAUAUGCACAAGUUUGUACCACACAAGAAAAUGAGAUGAUUUAAAACAUUCCUUUUUCAAAGGAGAGACCAGCUACCUCAGAGUCAAUUUGUAAUCUGUAGUCAGCUACAUCCAAGAUGUGUUGAUGAUGUGGCUGAUUAAUUAAGAAAAAUGUAUGCUACCUUUGUUGUAAUAAAUAACUCCAACUGAUCUUGCAUUAAUAAGAUGCACCAUUUUACUCACUGCCAUCAGCAUUUCAUUAACACUGAAAAAGCCAAACCAAACCAAAACAACAAAAAUGUCCCAUUAUUUUGAUGAUUGAAAUACCCACUGCUAGAUUUGUUGUCAGGAGGAAUGUCUUUUAUUCCUCAAAAUCAGAGCAGUUGUGACC